AUUGAACGCUGGCGGCAUGCUUUACACAUGCAAGUCGAACGGAAACAGGCCGCGAGGUGCUGACGAAUGGCGAACGGGGGCGUAAUGCAUCGAAACGUGCCCAGUCGUGAGGGAUAACUACUCGCAAGAGUAGCUAAUACCGCAUACGAUCUAUGGUUGUAAGCGGGGGACCGUAAGGCUUCGCGCGAUUUUAGCGGCCGAUGUCAGAUUAGGUAGUUGGUGGGGUAAAGGCUCACCAAGCCAACGAUCUGUAGCUGGUCUGAGAGGACGAGCAGCCACACUGGAACUGAGACACGGCCCAGACUCCUACGGGAGGCAGCAGUGGGGAAUCUUGGACAAUGGGCGAAAGCCUGAUCCAGCAAUGCCACGUGCAGGAAGAAGGCCUUCGGGUUGUAAAAUGCUGUUGUACGGAACGAAACGGCGUUGGUUAAUACCCGGGGCUAAUGACGGUACCGAAAGAAUAAGCACCGGCUAACUACGUG
Molecule: ribosomal RNA, 482 nt
Filed under: uncultured bacterium
Lineage: Bacteria
Description: partial 16S ribosomal RNA
Rfam family: Bacterial small subunit ribosomal RNA
Source: RNAcentral